CCUUUUGUAUAAUGGGUCAGCGACUUAUAUUCUGUAGCAAGGUUAACCGAAUAGGGGAGCCGAAGGGAAACCGAGUCUUAACUGGGCGUUAAGUUGCAGGGUAUAGACCCGAAACCCGGUGAUCUAGCCAUGGGCAGGUUGAAGGUUGGGUAACACUAACUGGAGGACCGAACCGACUAAUGUUGAAAAAUUAGCGGAUGACUUGUGGCUGGGGGUGAAAGGCCAAUCAAACCGGGAGAUAGCUGGUUCUCCCCGAAAGCUAUUUAGGUAGCGCCUCGUGAAUUCAUCUCCGGGGGUAGAGCACUGUUUCGGCAAGGGGGUCAUCCCGACUUACCAACCCGAUGCAAACUGCGAAUACCGGAGAAUGUUAUCACGGGAGACACACGGCGGGUGCUAACGUCCGUCGUGAAGAGGGAAACAACCCAGACCGCCAGCUAAGGUCCCAAAGUCAUGGUUAAGUGGGAAACGAUGUGGGAAGGCCCAGACAGCCAGGAUGUUGGCUUAGAAGCAGCCAUCAUUUAAAGAAAGCGUAAUAGCUCACUGGUCGAGUCGGCCUGCGCGGAAGAUGUAACGGGGCUAAACCAUGCACCGAAGCUGCGGCAGCGACACUAUGUGUUGUUGGGUAGGGGAGCGUUCUGUAAGCCUGUGAAGGUGUGCUGUGAGGCAUGCUGGAGGUAUCAGAAGUGCGAAUGCUGACAUAAGUAACGAUAAAGCGGGUGAAAAGCCCGCUCGCCGGAAGACCAAGGGUUCCUGUCCAACGUUAAUCGGGGCAGGGUGAGUCGACCCCUAAGGCGAGGCCGAAAGGCGUAGUCGAUGGGAAACAGGUUAAUAUUCCUGUACUUGGUGUUACUGCGAAGGGGGGACGGAGAAGGCUAUGUUGGCCGGGCGACGGUUGUCCCGGUUUAAGCGUGUAGGCUGGUUUUCCAGGCAAAUCCGGAAAAUCAAGGCUGAGGCGUGAUGACGAGGCACUACGGUGCUGAAGCAACA
Molecule: ribosomal RNA, 987 nt
Filed under: Escherichia coli
Lineage: Bacteria; Pseudomonadati; Pseudomonadota; Gammaproteobacteria; Enterobacterales; Enterobacteriaceae
Description: partial 23S ribosomal RNA
Rfam family: Bacterial large subunit ribosomal RNA
Source: RNAcentral